CCUGAGCUUACACAGACCCCGUGAUAUGCUGGAGCUGGCUCCCUCUGGCUCAGGAGGGAGAGCGCGUUGUUAAAAUUUCGUGAAUUUUGCGAGCCAGGUUUCACUGGGACCUUGAAAUAACUGUUAGAAGUAUUUACACCACAGCAAUCAGCAAAUGAUGCAAACCGGAGCUUUUUCCCCCCUUUCAGGAGCCAGUUGUUAAACAUUUACCAGCUCACCACUGGCUGAAGGCCACAGCCUUUAUAAUGUCUCAGGAGAGUCCUUAGUGUAGAAAGUUUCAGAGCUUAGCAAGACUGCCCCCUUGUCUCAAGUUCUGUGACAGAUCUGAGCCUGUCUGAUUCUGCUGCUGCUGCUGCUAAGUCGCUUCAGUCGUGUCCGACUCUGUGCGACCCCAUAGACGGCAGCCCACCAGGCUCCCCCGUCCCUGGGAUUCUCCAGGCAAGAACACUGGAGUGGGUUGCCAUUUCCUUCUCCAAUGCAUGAAAGUGAAAAGUGAAAGUGAAGUCGCUCAGUCAUGUCCGACUUUUAGCGACCUCAUGGACUGCAGCCUACCAGGCUCCUCCGUCCAUGGGAUUUUCCAGGGCAGAGUUUCCGUUUGGGAUGAUGAGAGUUCUGCAGAUGAACAGUGGCCGCACAGCAAUGUGAAUAGAUUUAACGCCACCGAGCUGAAACUCCAAGAUGCUUAAGACGGUCCGUUUCACAUUACAUGUGGUGUAUUUUACCACAAUAAAAAGUCAAUUAAAAAGUUGCUGAUGGGACUUCCCUGGUGGUACAGUGCAUAGGAAUCCGCCUGCCAACGCAGGGGACGCAGGUUCCGCCCGCGACCUGGAAAGAGCCCACAUGCCGCGGAGCAGCUAAGCACGUGCAUGGUAACCACUGAGGCUGUGUGCUGCGACUGCUGAAGUCCACGCGCCCCAGAGCCCACGCGCUGCAGCAAGGGCGGCCACUGCAGUGGGAGCCCCGCACAGCGCAACCAGAGAGCAGCCUGCGCAGAGCAGCACAGACCCAGGGCAGCCAGAUGAGGAACUGCUUUAAAGGGAUUCACGGAUCCCCAGCUCGGCUCUAGGCACUGUGCUGUAUGCCCUGGACAGUAGAAAAUGAAGCAGGUGAUUUCCUCUGCCUCCGUGGAGCGGACAUUCUAGAACGGUGCUGUCCAAGAGCGCUCUCUAUGGAUGGAGCGAUGAGUGGACAGCAGUGUUCCAGAUCUGCUCUGCACCACACGGUGGCCACCCGCCACCUGGGGCUCCUGAGCACUGGAAAUGUGGCCAAUGCCCCCCGAGGAACUGGCUUUAAUUUCAUUUCAUCUCAAUUAAUUUGAAUAUAAACAGCCACCUGUGGCUAGCGCUGGCCGAACUGGGCAGCACGGUUCUCGAAGGUCAGUCACAGGACAGGCAAGUGGUGGGGCUGGGGUUAGAAUCCCCGUUUGUCUAAACUUAUUGAAGCUGUGGGCCUUAUUCACCGCUGUGGGCCUCCUACAUCUGAAUCACCAGGGAAGCAGGCUCCAAAUUCAGAUUCCUGGGCUCUGCCUCAGAUCCACUGACUCAGGGGAUGGGGCCCAGGACUCUGCAUUUUUGUCAAGGUCCUUGGGUGAUUCUGAGGCACUAGAGUUCAAGUUUGAGACCUACCGCCCUACUUACUCAAGACUCCCAGGUCGGGCUUCCCUGGUGGCCCAGUGGUAAAUAAUCCGCCUGCCAGUGCAGGGGAUACAGGUUCGAUCCCUGGACCGGGAAGAUUCCACAGGCCACGGAGCACCUAAGCCCAUGAGCUGCAACUGCUGAGCCCACAUUCCACAGCUACUGAGGCCUGUGCACCCAGAACGUGCUCCACAGGAGAGGCCACCUCGGCGAGAAGCCCGCGCACCGCAGCCAGAGCGUAGCCCCCGCUCCCCGCAGCCAGAGAAAAGCCCACGCAUCUGCGAAGACCCAGCGCAACCAAAAAUAAAUAAUAGAUAAAAGACUCCCAGUUAUGUUGAUGUUUGGCAGAAACCAACACAGUCAUUGUAAAGCAAUUAUCCUUCAAUUAAAAAUAAAUUUAAAAAAAGACUCUCAGCUGGCGGGACGUCCCUGGUGGUCCAGCGGUUAAAAGUCCGCCUCGCAAUUCAAGGGACGGGGGUUCGAUGUCUGGUUGGGGAACCGAGAUCCCACGUGUCAUGGGGCAGCUAAGCCCGAGCGCCACAGUCUGUGCCGCAGUUGAGACCCCAUGCAGCCAAGGAAUUAUUAUUAUUAUUUUUAAGAAGAGCCCCAAUUGAGGAGAGUUUGAAUUAGGUCUGACCUGUGCUGGGCGCCCGGGCCAGGACCAGGCCUGCCCCGCUUGGCUCCCCCAGCCUCAAAG
Long non-coding RNA from Bos taurus (domestic cattle), 2331 nucleotides. The record is from Ensembl. NCBI's taxonomy places the organism in Eukaryota, Metazoa, Chordata, Mammalia, Artiodactyla, Bovidae.